RNAcentral lists this ribosomal RNA (419 nucleotides) under uncultured Glycomyces sp. RNAcentral's name for it is "bacterial SSU rRNA". It matches the Rfam family "Bacterial small subunit ribosomal RNA", at positions 355 to 774 of the family's 1533-position model. Lineage: Bacteria; Bacillati; Actinomycetota; Actinomycetes; Glycomycetales; Glycomycetaceae. The record is from RNAcentral.
UGGGGAAUUUUGCACAAUGGGCGCAAGCCUGAUGCAGCGACGCCGCGUGAGGGAUGACGGCUUUCGGGUUGUAAACCUCUUUUAUCCACCACGAAGGCCAGGUAUUCGCCUGGUUGACGGUAGUGGUUGAAUAAGCGCCGGCUAACUACGUGCCAGCAGCCGCGGUAAGACGUAGGGCGCGAGCGUUGUCCGGAUUUAUUGGGCGUAAAGGGCUCGUAGGCGGUUGAUUGCGUCCGCCGUGAAAGGCCUCGGCUUAACCGGGGUUUUGCGGUGGAUACGGGUCGACUUGAGGCAAUUAGGGGAGAUCGGAAUUCUACGUGUAGCGGUGAAAUGCGCAGAUAUGUGGAGGAACACCGGUGGCGAAGGCGGAUCUCUGGGAUUGUUCUGACGCUGAGGAGCGAAAGCGUGGGGAGCGAACA